AUAUAUAUAGUAUAACUAAUUACAUUUAACUUCCAAUUAAAAAAUUUUAUUAAAAUAUAUAUA
RNAcentral lists this transfer RNA (63 nucleotides) under Andrena labiata. Its description in RNAcentral is "tRNA-Gly". The record is from RNAcentral. Lineage: Eukaryota; Metazoa; Arthropoda; Insecta; Hymenoptera; Andrenidae.